RNAcentral lists this unclassified non-coding RNA (1183 nucleotides) under Hevea brasiliensis (rubber tree). Lineage: Eukaryota; Viridiplantae; Streptophyta; Magnoliopsida; Malpighiales; Euphorbiaceae. The record is from RNAcentral.
GUAUUGGGCAUUUUCUGGCAAAGGUAAUUUAACUUCUUUGACAACAUGGCACACUUUUAGCUUGUUCUUGGUAUUAACUGCCAACCUGGACAGAUAAAAGCUAGUAUUAAAAAACAGCGUAUCUGCCAUUUCAUACAGAAUUUCAUUACACUGUUUGGGUUUUAUGCUGCCUGACACAGGACAAUACAGGUGUUAUGGACUGCUAUGGUCCAAUAUGCCCAUUAUGUAAUGGCUGUAACAAUUGUCACUGAUAUAAGGACCCAAAACUAUGAAUUUUAUUUUUCUGCAGACAACCUUAUUCUCAUUUCCCACCAGUUGUAAAACCCAUAUAGAAUGGAUAUGUUUUGAUCAAAAUGAGUUUAAGCCCAUUUGAAAUUUGUUUCAAUGAGCUCCUAGUGGGUGCUUUAGAUACAAUUCGUUAAAGUGACAAUUAAUGUGGAAAACUGAAAUGAUGGAAAACUAAUAGUUGUGAGCGUAUGGCACAUAUUAGCUUCAAUUAGCAGCUUAAUGAACCUGCAAGAAGAUUCCAAACAUCUAUAACCAUUACUGCCAGCUUUUAUGACUUAUGAGCUGCCUGAUGGGCUUUUAUGGACUCUAUCUACUCUUCAAAUGACACAUUCAAAUUGCCAUGGUGUUGAUGAAUUUCUCUAUCCCUAUGGUGUCGUAAAUAAAUAUUGUAUUUUAAUAUUUGAUAUAGGAUGCACAAAUCCCAAAUUAUGGAUUACUUGCUUGUCUGAUCACCUUCUUUCUCCCACAAUAUAAAGCUUAUAAUGUGGGACUCAUUUGGCAUUGAAUUAACUUUAACUAUUUGCAAAAGCCAUUUGCUUGGUGUAAAUACAACCUUGGGCUUGCAACCAUAAGGGUGUAGGUUCAUGUUUUAGGAGCAGCCAUUUCAUGCAACAGUGCUGACUGCCGAGUGGUAAGAUGUAUCUCGAUUCUGCAUAGAACCUCUUUUUGUUAACAUCAUAAUAGGAUCAUAGCCUUCUUUAUGCUUGAAAAUGCAUUGUAAAUUUUUCAUUUGUAAGUUGGUCAUCUUUAAGUUGUUAACAAAAUAGACAGAGAAACAGAAAAAGCUUUAUCUGAUUUUAUAAGCUUGUUCUUUAAGCAAUGGAAUCUUCCCUUGUUGCUCUUGAUUAAAAAUUCUUUUCCCUACUGUUUCAGGAUGAAGAUGUGUACACCUUCU